Molecule: ribosomal RNA, 730 nt
Filed under: uncultured bacterium
Lineage: Bacteria
Description: bacterial SSU rRNA
Rfam family: Bacterial small subunit ribosomal RNA
Source: RNAcentral
AACAGGAUUAUAUACCCUGGUAGUCCACGCCGUAAACGAUGUCGACUUGGAGGUUGUGCCCUUGAGGCGUGGCUUCCGGAGCUAACGCGUUAAGUCGACCGCCUGGGGAGUACGGCCGCAAGGUUAAAACUCAAAUGAAUUGACGGGGGCCCGCACAAGCGGUGGAGCAUGUGGUUUAAUUCGAUGCAACGCGAAGAACCUUACCUACUCUUGACAUCCAGAGAACUUAGCAGAGAUGCUUUGGUGCCUUCGGGAACUCUGAGACAGGUGCUGCAUGGCUGUCGUCAGCUCGUGUUGUGAAAUGUUGGGUUAAGUCCCGCAACGAGCGCAACCCUUAUCCUUUGUUGCCAGCGGUCCGGCCGGGAACUCAGAGGAGGCUGCCAGUGAUAAACUGGAGGAAGGUGGGGAUGACGUCAAGUCAUCAUGGCCCUUACGAGUAGGGCUACACACGUGCUACAAUGGCAUAUACAAAGAGAAGCGACCUCGCGAGAGCAAGCGGACCUCAUAAAGUAUGUCGUAGUCCGGAUUGGAGUCUGCAACUCGACUCCAUGAAGUCGGAAUCGCUAGUAAUCGUGGAUCAGAAUGCCACGGUGAAUACGUUCCCGGGCCUUGUACACACCGCCCGUCACACCAUGGGAGUGGGUUGCAAAAGAAGUAGGUAGCUUAACCUUCGGGGGGGCGCUUACCACUUUGUGAUUCAUGACUGGGGUGAAGUCGUAACAAGGUAACC